UUAUUUAAGAAAAAAAAAACUCUCAUCUAAUAUCACUCAGCUGCCCGUGCCUGUUCUCCCAAAUACCCAAAUAGCUUUCUUUGCUCUCUAGAACAAAUCUCCUCAAUUCGGUGGAUUGAAGCACGAGUGGGAUCUGCUCUUAAGGGUUUCUUUCGUCUCGAUUUCUUCCUGGAGAGUCGACCAGAGACUUUACUUUACGGAUUCUUCUUGGCAUUUUUACCUCUAUUUUCAAGUCAAGCUCCUGUCUUAUUUGAAUUGAUAGAGAACAGGUAGAUGAAUAGAUGGAUUGACUGAGGA
This is a long non-coding RNA of Hevea brasiliensis (rubber tree), 297 nucleotides long. RefSeq lists it as uncharacterized. NCBI's taxonomy places the organism in Eukaryota, Viridiplantae, Streptophyta, Magnoliopsida, Malpighiales, Euphorbiaceae. The record is from RefSeq and is a predicted model, not a curated record. The transcript has 3 exons.